Molecule: transfer RNA, 63 nt
Filed under: Temnoscheila virescens
Lineage: Eukaryota; Metazoa; Arthropoda; Insecta; Coleoptera; Trogossitidae
Description: tRNA-Cys
Source: RNAcentral
GUCUAAGUAUUCAACUAUGAUUUUAAAUUGCAAAUUUAAAGGUAAGCAGGGUCUUCUUAGACU